RNAcentral lists this long non-coding RNA (446 nucleotides) under Phoenix dactylifera (date palm). RNAcentral describes it as "long non-coding RNA (PDAC_LNC018205)". The record is from RNAcentral. Lineage: Eukaryota; Viridiplantae; Streptophyta; Magnoliopsida; Arecales; Arecaceae.
CAGAUUCUACUCUUCUUUCUUAGUACAAGCAAUUUUGAAUUAAGAACAAACAAUGAAAAUAUCUCUCUUGAAGAAAAUUUUGAAAUCAUAGACAUGCUGAUACUGUUCUCUUGCUUUUCCUGUUGUGGCGCUGGAUGAUGCAAUGGAGAAAAAAGUUGUGUUGUGUACUAUAUCAAAAAACCUAAGGGUUGUCAGAUCUAAACGUCAGACCCAAAACUCUCCAAAGUCAUUUCUUUUAUAACCAGGAUUGCUUGUUCCCAGUUUUUGUUCCCAGCUUGAAUGAAACAAAGUACUCUAAGUAUAUCCCUAUAUAAAGGAAUUCCCAUCCAUUGACACCAGAAAGGCAAUAUUAUUAUCAUAUCUCCGUUCAGAAUAAGUUCUGCUUUGGACCCUCAGAUCCACAAUGAAGUCCUUCCGAUGUGUGUUUAUAUCGAGCAAAAGAUCAG